CUGAGGCAAAAUCACAAGUGCGGUGAAACCAAUAGAAUUUUGUGCUCUCAAUUUGAAUGAAUAAUGAGUGUUAUGUGACCUCUGUGCAUGUCAGCAAUUUGAUCCAAGCUGCCACCAAAGUCAGUUUCCCAGCAAUCAAAUGCCCACGACAUAACUUUGCCGGAAAAGAUCUAUGAACUAUGCUGGUGCACAAACACCCUCAGACACUCAGCCUUGGAUUUGAAUGGCUCCAAGCUAGCCCCUGCAGGUUUGCAUGUCAUCAGACGGCCGACCUCUCGUGUGGGUCGACCUGCCGGAGGAGACACACCUCAGCCAGGAAACGUUGACUCGAAUUUUGGAUCUUAUCCCCGAGCUCAGCAUGACCCUCUGGCUCCCGAGCGAGAUGACGUCCCCCUUUUGGAUCCAUGCAGCUGGCAGCUGAGUGCUGGAGCAGAAGAUGGUCACAACUUUAUUGACUUUCGGCAUGUGGCCCCUAGCUCCACAUGACAAGGAAAGGUUGAAAACAGCCUCAAGGCUGUCUGAUAUAAAGGGGCCCCAGCAGAGUGAACUUUACCGGCUUUUGGAGCAGGCUGCUCCAGAUGGCUGAAUCCAGAGCAGCUCGUGGUAAUGGUGGUUUUUGCAACCCAGAUCCAUUUUCCUGGUGCCCGAAAGCCCCCGAGAUCUGUUUCCUUUGCUGAUUACAUUGGCCUCCCCCAGAGUUUUCCCCCCCAAAAGAGCAAAAAAAGACAACUGUUAGGAAUGAUUAACGGUCGUCCUCAACGGUUAGACGACUUCCACAUCUUAUUUCGGCAGAGCUCACACACAACAAGUGCUCAUGUUAUGAUUACGGUUAGCAGUUGUUUUUUGCUUGGAAUCUUCACAUUGGCUUUACUUUCACAAAAGAAAUGCCCUCAAUGUGUUUCUUCAAAAAAGACAAUAAUGAUGUCACUUAAUGAUUCACUGAGCUGCAGAAUAAUGAGCUGUCUCAUUAUCAUUGAUUUAUAUAAAUGUUUGUCUGCACUUUCUUCCUACAAAGCAAGCGUAUGUGUGCAAUAAUAAUGAAUUUGUGAACUGCAGGAUUUGCAGGUAUGUGUAGAGAUUUUUUUUUUUCAUAAAAUGUUUUAGCAAGCCAGCAAUCAGUAAGUUGACACCGCUAAAGUAGUCAGUAAAUGUAACCAUGAUUGAUUUUAUUAUAGGUACCAAACUUUUAAUAUUUUUUUAUGGAAUCCAUGCCCAAUCAAACAGCAUAAACAUUUUGAUCAUAAUGAGAACUCUAUUUGCUGAAAAAAAAAAAAAACCACCCCCUCCCCCCGCCCACCACUACGUUGUUCCACCCCGUGGUCUCCAUCUCAUCACUGGUUUCUUUUCAAAACAGCCUCACAAACAUCAUGAUUGAUUCAGCUACUAUCCUGCAGGAUCUCUCAAUGCCUGCCUGGGCUGGAGAUUAAUUUCAUUUCCUCAUCUUAAUUUUUACUCAUCGCCUCUCCAUAAAAAGGCUAAAUGUCAAGCAUGCCUGACUCCUUCUAGUGACACGUCUAUUCCAGCAGAUAAUUACCAUAAGGAAAUUGAUGCUUUAGUGUGCAUGGGGGAAAUUUAAUUUACCCCGACAACCUCACAGCAUAAUGCUUUCCUAAAGAAAGAGAAUUUUUCACUUUGCAGUUGACGUUUUAGAGACUAUUUAAUGUGAUUAUCAGCCUUGAACAUAUUUGACUUAUUAAGGUGCUCUAAGCAAUUAAGUGCUACACCGUGCUCGUGCUUCCACAUGUGAAACAUUGAAUACUGCUUAAGGAUCCAUGAAAUAGGAAGCCGGAGUGUAUUGUUUGGUAGUCGGCCAGCUACAUCAGCCGCUUGAAAGCCCCCCCACCCCCCAACCCUAACCCCAUAUACUCGCCCAGUGAUAUUAAUUACAGCAACACGACUUUCUUCAGGUUGUUGAUCAACCUCGAGGUUUCUGUUUACGAUAAGACUUGAUGAUUGCCUGCUCAAACAGGAAGAUUAAUGUUCAAUUCAAUAAUUUCAUCAAAGCUUGAGCUGGGACGCUCAUUAACAGUGGGCAAGAGGGCCACAACUCACAGCACUGUUGUUAUUUAGUUGGAAAAGAAAAGCAUUAAGAUGACUGAUGAAAAGUGAAAAUGCUAUUGGUCUUGUUCACUAUUUUGUUCCUUAAAAUGAAAGUUUGGGGCACCAUUUGUUGAGUCAUGAACAGAUGCCUCAGAUCAUGCUGAGUCAUAUUUAAGUCCAAACAUUCCCUCUGCACAACAGGGACCACCUAUCUUGCUUUUUCAUAGCAAACAUGGUCAAAAAUGAAGAAAAAG
Long non-coding RNA from Syngnathus acus (greater pipefish), 2294 nucleotides. RefSeq lists it as uncharacterized. NCBI's taxonomy places the organism in Eukaryota, Metazoa, Chordata, Actinopteri, Syngnathiformes, Syngnathidae. The record is from RefSeq and is a predicted model, not a curated record. The transcript has 2 exons.